UACGGAGGGGGUUAGCGUUGUUCGGAAUACUGGGCGUAAAGCGUACGUAGGCGGAUCAGAAAGUUGGGGGUGAAAUCCCGGGGCUCAACCCCGGAACUGCUCCAAACUCCUGGUCUUGAGUUCGAGAGAGGUGAGUGGAAUUCCAAGUGUAGAGGUGAAAUUCGUAGAUAUUUGGAGGAACACCAGUGGCGAAGGCGGCUCACUGGCUCGAUACUGACGCUGAGGUACGAAAGUGUGGGGAGCAAACAGGAUUAGAUACCCCCGUAGUCC
RNAcentral lists this ribosomal RNA (270 nucleotides) under uncultured bacterium. RNAcentral's name for it is "partial 16S ribosomal RNA". It matches the Rfam family "Bacterial small subunit ribosomal RNA", at positions 524 to 796 of the family's 1533-position model. The record is from RNAcentral.